This 3747-nucleotide long non-coding RNA is filed under the name Homo sapiens (human). RNAcentral's name for it is "HSALNT0225177". Lineage: Eukaryota; Metazoa; Chordata; Mammalia; Primates; Hominidae. The record is from RNAcentral.
UUGUCUCUCUCUUUUUCAUGAUUUAUGACUCAGAAGCAAGACAGGGGCAGGAGGUUGGAGGGUAAUGCUUGCGGCUGUGGUUGCUGUUAUUUUUAUUUUGUAUUUUUCUUAAAGAAAAUAAAAGAAAUAUGCUUUUCUGAAAAAUCUUGAAGCCUUGAAGCCACCUGCAGGGCUGUUGUUUUCCAAGGCCUUGCACUUACGUAAUUGACAUCUACAUAGACACACUCCUGGAACAUAUCGGGGGAGGCAGGCAUUCUGCUUGUUCUCAUUUGUUCUCAAAUUACAUGAUAAAAUACAUGUUUUGGACCUUUUAAACCAAAGGGAGUUAUUGAGCCCGCUUACAAAAUCCAUAACAUGUUAGCAGGACUUAUCUAGCUGCCUCCACAGAAUAGCCAAGCAACUCUACACCCGCUUUAGCCCCCACAAAAACAAGCGGAUUGCACUACAAAUAAUUUGCCUAUUUGGAAAAUGAAAGCUUCUCUGUAGUUUGAGGUCCUAUUUUUUCUUUAAGUUGUUACAGUCUUUUCAUGGUCCUUGAGGUCUAGGUUAGGUUUUUGUUUGGGGUAAUUUUUGUAUCCUAUGGAUACUAUUUAAUCUUUAGUAUUGAGUCAGUAUUUCUCACUUAGGCCUUAGGGGAAUACUGCCUGAAGUAUGUAGGGGGCAUGCGGAAUUCAGACGUGGCUUGGAAACUGCACCAUGGGUUCACCCAAGAAACAGACCAGAGGCAACACAUUCUAUCACUAAAACGUGUUCUCAGUUACACUUCCCUUCCAAAGGUAUCUCUGUUCAAGCCAACACCCGCUAGCUUAUGCUGAGUCUUUUUUUCCUGAAGAUACUCCUAAAGAAUACUCCAUGAUCUCAUCAGUAACACCAGCCCAUGUGACCGUAACUCUCACUCAACGAGGAGAAAAUAUACAAAGAGAAGAUGAAGAGACAACCAAAUCCUGUGAAUGAAACAUUGUGACCUCAAGUUUACAGAUGAAGACAAUAAACUUCAGAGAGUUCAAGUAUAUCACUCAAGCAGGAUUAUUUGUGCCCAUGAGGGAAACACGAAGGAUUGUCAGUAUUCAUUUGCUAUCAGAACUGCCUUUGAACUUCAGGGAAGCCGCCAUCUUGUUUUAGUUCACUCCUCUAAAGCACAGUGUCUGCAACAUGAAACACUAGUAAGACACAGUUAUCCAGAAAGAGCCCUAGAGAUGGAUAAGGAACCUGUUGGAAUGCUCUGAUAUUAAGAAAAAAAAAAUUAAAUUCAAAACCAAAAACAAGUCACAAGGGAGUUUUAUGCCUAUGUAAUCAGUGCAGACAGCCGUUAAGUAAAUGAAGAGGCAACUAACAAUGUCAGAAAAGAGACCGGGCGGUUCCGGCUGACACUACCCUAAUCUUCCAGGACCCAUUAAAUGGUAGUUUCAACGCAUUACCUACCAUAACAUCCUUGAAUAUCACUGAUUUUAUUUGCAGUAUCAAACAUUCCAUUUCAUGCCCCAUUAACAGUGGGAGCCUGGGCUUUUUGACGCAGCUAAACAUUUUACUAACUACCUGGACUAAGUAACCAAUUAACUUUUGGAGACAAUACGGCCAAUUAAGCGCGAAAAGAAAAUUUGGAAAACAGGCUUUUCCUAUCCGGAUGAACAGAGAUAAUUUGUGUCGAUGGAUGUUCUGUGAAGGCCUAUUGUGUCGAGCAGCGUAUUAAAACAUAAACAUGGCUCUUCCCCCAAGAAACUUACAUUUCAGUAAGGGAGCCUGGCCAAAAUGGAAAACUGCAAGGUUCAAAUCCUGGAGUGCAGAAGAAGCAUUAGGCAUUGACCCUGUGGCUUCCUAAUAGAUCCGCAAAGUGCUUUGUUCCUGGAAAUCAUCCGAUGAGUAGUUCAGUGCUAUUGUAUAUCUUGUUAGAGCAGCCGAAGUGCCACAAAAUGAACUAAAAUCUCCCUGCAGAGUUGCUGUAUCAUAUGCUGAGAACAUUCGGAACUUUCAACAAAUUCAUGUUACGAUCCUGGGUAGCCAUGGUUAAAUCUGUACAGGGGUUAAAUGAGAAAUAUGAGCCUGCUGUUAAGUGUCUUCUGAGAGUGACAAAGCUCUGGCCAUAAGGGAUGGGAGAGGAGGGAUUUCUUCUCAGCCUUCCAGCCCUUUCCAGCUGUAUCACAGACAGGAGACAUAAUGCAAAGGGGCUCAGACAUUGACUUCCUGGAUCUUUGCGGCCCCAGGCAUUGACCCCCUCUACCUGGCUUUUCCUACGCUGUAAAAUGAGGAUCCUCCUAUAUUAUGGAGUUUAUUGUGACAACUAAAUAGCUGAGAAGAAGGACAUCUCAUUUGUUUUAACUAUGCAGUUUCCUGUCUAUCUAUCUAUCUAUCCCAUCAAUCUAUCAAUCAAUCUAUCAAUCUGUCUAUCCCUAUCUAUCUAUCCAUCUAUCUAUCUAUAUCUGUCUAUAUCUAUCUAACAUUUAUCUAUCAUCUAUUCAUCUAUCAGCUAUCUUCUGUCUAUCAAUAUUUCAAUCAAUCUCUCUAUCCCUAUCAAUUAAUCUAUCUACCUACCUAUCAACUAUCCAUCUAUCUCUAUCAUCUAUCAUCUAUUCAUCUAUCAUUUAUCAUCUGUCAAUCCAUCUUCCUACUAUCUAUCAAAAGCAACACAUUUUCUUCCUGACUUUAAAAAUAUUUAAGUGGGCCGGGAGGAUGGCUCACGCCUGUAAUCCCAGCACUUUGGGAGGCCUAGGCGGGCGGAUCACGAGGUCAGGAGAUGGAGACCAUCCUGGCUAACAUGGUGAAACCCCGUCUCUACUAAAAAUACAAAAAAAAAAAAAAAUUAACCAGGCGUGGUGGAGGGCGCCUGUAGUCCCAGCUACUCGGGAGACUGAGGCAGGAGAAUGGGGAGAACCCGGGAGGCGGAGCUUGCAGUGAGCCGAGAUCAUGCCACUGCACUCCAGCCUGGGCGACAGAGCAAGACUCCAUCUCAAAAGAAACAAAAACAAAAACGUAAGUGAUACUCUGUCCACUCUUUUGAUUGAGGAGGUCUGAUUUUCAGGCUUUGGAUUUUAUUAUGUCUUCAAUAUAAUAAUUGUUCCAUGUAUCUCUCCUAAAUUGCCAUUUGAAAAACUGCUUUUCUGAAGUUUAAAGUGCACAUUUUGAUACAUCUUGACACAUAUAUACACCCAUGAAAUCAUCACCACAAUCAGGAUAGUAGAUCUAUCCAUUACCGCCAAGGUUUACUUGCACUCCUUUGAACUUUCUCCCCACUCCUCACCCCCUGCCUAUCCCCAAUCCUUAAGCAAUCACUGAUUUGCUUUCUGUCACUAUCAGUUAAUUUGAAUUUUUCAGAAAUGUAUAUAAAUAAAAUCAUUCGACGUGUAUGCUCUUUUUCUGUUCACCCGGUACAAUUUGAGAUUUAGCCAUGUUUUUGCAUGUGUCAAUAGUUUAUUUUUUUGUUGCUCAGUACUAAUCCAUUUUAUGGAUACAGAGAAAUGUAUUAAUGCAAUCCCAUAUUAAUAGGCAUUUGGGUUGUUUCCAGGUUUGGGCUGUUACAAAUAAAGCUGCUAUGAACAUUUUUGUGCAAGUCUUUUUAUGAGUAUAUUCCUUUAUUUCUUUUGGGUAAAUACCUAGAAGUGGGAUGGGUGUAUCACAUGGUACGUAAAUAUUUAAAUUUUUAAGAGAAUGCCAAACUGUUUUUCAAAGUAAUUGCACCAUUUUAUAUUCCCACCAGGAAUAUAUGAGAAUUCCAGUUCCUCUACAUACUCACAGACAUAUUGUAUGGUCAGU